CGCUGUUUGUUGCGAACCGGGAUCGGGCCGAAUCGAGCACGAUCGAGCGCAUCUCAUGCUAAAAAAAGCACUUCGUUCAAACGUAGGCCAGGACUUGGUCGAGUCAUUAAAAGAAUGACUGAGGUUACAGCGGGUUCAAGAGGGUCCGAACAGAUCAUCACCGAUUUGCUGCUGAGUCAACUCAACUCAAACACUGUUAUGGUCGCUAACG
This 211-nucleotide long non-coding RNA is filed under the name Volvox carteri. RNAcentral's name for it is "long non-coding RNA (VCAR_LNC001917)". The record is from RNAcentral. Lineage: Eukaryota; Viridiplantae; Chlorophyta; Chlorophyceae; Chlamydomonadales; Volvocaceae.